GAUGAAGAACGUAGCGAAAUGCGAUACUUGGUGUGAAUUGCAGAAUCCCGUGAACCAUCGAGUCUUUGAACGCAAGUUGCGCCCGAAGCCAUCAGGUUGAGGGCACGUCUGCCUGGGCGUCACAUAUCGUUGCUCGAUGCCUAUCGCAUUGCGAUAGGACUUAGGGCGAAUGAUGGCUUCCCGUGAGCGUUGUUGCCUCGCGGUUGGUUGAAAAUCGAGUCCUUGGUAGGGUGUGCCAUGAUAGAUGGUGGUCGAGUUAGCACGAUACCGAUCAUGUGCAUGCUCCCCAAAAUAUGGCCUCUGUGACCCCCACGCGUCUUUUGACGCUCCUGACGAGACCUCAGGUCAGGCGGGGCUACCCGCUGAAUUUACGCAUAUCAAUAAGCGGAGGA
This 392-nucleotide unclassified non-coding RNA is filed under the name soil metagenome. RNAcentral's name for it is "partial contains 5.8S ribosomal RNA, internal transcribed spacer 2, and large subunit ribosomal RNA". The stretch from base 1 to 122 matches the Rfam family "5.8S ribosomal RNA", at positions 35 to 154 of the family's 154-position model. The record is from RNAcentral.